Mycena leptocephala is the source of this 94-nucleotide non-coding RNA. NCBI's taxonomy places the organism in Eukaryota, Fungi, Basidiomycota, Agaricomycetes, Agaricales, Mycenaceae. The record is from the annotation of a GenBank genome assembly.
GACCUGAUGGUGUAGUGGUAACAUGCCUGCUGAAAUUACACUGUAAUCCCUGAUCAGUAAGCAGGAGGCCCCGGUUUGAACCCGGGUCAGGUCA